UGAAUACGAGAUGCUACGGCGUCGAAGCAGUGUAUGUCAGACUUCCAAGAAAAGCUCGCAAUGUCAUAAAUAAAGAAUGCCUGUACCAUAACCGACACAGGUGGGUAGGUAGAGUAUACUAAGGGGCGCGAGAUAACUCUCUCUAAGGAACUCGGCAAAAUAACUCCGUAACUUCGGGAGAAGGAGUGCCUUCUUUAAGAAGGUUGCAAUAACAAGAUCCAAGCAACUGUUUAUCAAAAACACAGGUCUCCGCUAAGUCGUAAGACGAUGUAUGGGGGCUGACGCCUGCCCAGUGCCAGAAGGUUAAAGAAGUUGGUUAGCUUUUGCGAAGCUGAUGACUGAAGCCCUGGUGAACGGCGGCCGUAACAAUAACGGUCCUAAGGUAGCGAAAUUCCUUGUCGGGUAAGUUCCGACCCGCACGAAAGGCGUAAUGAUUUGGAUACUGUCUCGGAGAGGGACUCGGUGAAAUAGACUUGUCUGUGAAGAUGCGGACUACCUGCACCAGGACAGAAAGACCCUAUGAAGCUUUACUGUAACUUGAAAUUGAAAUUGGACUUUAUUUGCGCAGUAUAGGUGGAAGGCGUUGAAAGUAAUCUUGCGGGAUUAGUGGAGCCAUCAGUGAGAUACCACUCCUAUAAUGUUAGAUUUCUAACUUUGGAUCAUGAUCUGGUCAAAGAACAGUUUCAGGCGGGCAGUUUGACUGGGGCGGUCGCCUCCCAAAUGGUAACGGAGGCGUACAAAGGUUUCCUCUGAACGGGUAGAAAUCGUAUCUAGAGUGUAAAGGCAUAAGGAAGCUUGACUGUGAGACCUACAAGUCGAGCAGGGACGAAAGUCGGUCUUAGUGAUCUGACGGUGCUGAGUGGAAAGGCCGUCACUCAACGGAUAAAAGUUACUCUAAGGAUAACAGGCUGAUCUCCCCCAAGAGUUCACAUCGACGGGGAGGUUUGGCACCUCGAUGUCGGCUCAUCGCAUCCUGGGGCGGUAGUACGUCCCAAGGGUUGGGCUGUUCGCCCAUGAAAGCGGUACGCGAGCUGGGUUCAGAACGUCGUGAGACAGUUCGGUCCAUAUCCGGUGUAGGCGUUAGAAUAUUGAGAGGAGCCUUCUUUAGUACGAGAGGACCGAGAAGGACAUACCUCUGGUGUACCAGUUAUCGUGCCAACGGUAAACGCUGGGUAGCUAUGUAUGGAGAGGAUAACCGCUGAAAGCAUCUAAGUGGGAAGCCCACCUCAAGAUGAG
Molecule: ribosomal RNA, 1236 nt
Filed under: metagenome
Description: bacterial LSU rRNA
Rfam family: Bacterial large subunit ribosomal RNA
Source: RNAcentral